This 138-nucleotide transfer RNA is filed under the name Candidatus Aenigmatarchaeota archaeon. RNAcentral's name for it is "tRNA-OTHER". It matches the Rfam family "tRNA". From Rfam's summary of the family: Transfer RNA (tRNA) molecules are approximately 80 nucleotides in length. Lineage: Archaea; Nanobdellati; Candidatus Aenigmatarchaeota. The record is from RNAcentral.
GGGCCCGUAGCUCAGUCUGGUUAGAGCACUCGAGCAAACCUUCCUGUAAGGUUUGAUCCAAUCCAGAGCUUACUGAAGCCGGAUGAAGUGGUGAAGCUCUUAACCGAGGUGUCGGGGGUUCGAAUCCCCUCGGGCCCG